Equus caballus (horse) is the source of this 2751-nucleotide long non-coding RNA. The record is from Ensembl. Lineage: Eukaryota; Metazoa; Chordata; Mammalia; Perissodactyla; Equidae.
UGUGGUAUGUCUUCUGGAACAUUUCUUCUUUUCUUACUAGCUUAUUCUUUGUUUAUUGUCAAGAUUAAAUGAGAAAAGUGUACGAAAUGCCAAUUGUUUAACUCAGCAUGUGCAAGCAGCUCGAUGUGGAAGGUUUCCUAACCCUCAUGUUCAGGGGAGGGGAUUCCGGUUGAAUAAUUAAUUCUACUGCUUAACAGCUAUGACUAUGUUGUAACUUGAACCAUUUCUGAAGUGUUGUCUUGGAGACCUGUUGAGAAUGUGGUUCCCUUUUGAUGUGAUUUUAAGCUCUCUGUCAGUGGGUGCUUUGACACCUUGUUGCUGGGGAAGACGAAUGACUGGGCAAAUUUCAGUUACAAACUACAUGGAAAAAUUUUUAGUUAUGUUCACCGUUUAUGUGUCAAUUCAGGUCAUUAAAUGGCCCCAGCCUUCAGGCUGAUUUUUGAUCUGAGGAUAUGCAAAUUGCAUAAAAAGAUGUUACUUAUUCUUGCCCUUGGAUAUGAGCUUACAGAGAAAUUACAGUGCACAAAACAGGACAGUGUCAGAUUUUCGUUAAAUUAAAAGGCUGUCCUUUAUUCUGAGGUUAUAUCCUUCUACUGUUAAGGUUUUUAAGAUUAAAAAUGCUAGAUUUUUGAAAAUGACCUUACCUUAGUAACAUUGAGUUGACAAUCUCUUGUGAGUGUCCUAAAUUUGGAGUAUUUUACUGGACCAUAAAAUUUGCAAGUCUGGGAACCUCUCAUGUAGUCGUGAUGGAAUUUCUUCCCUAGACAGCUCAUAGAGGCAAAUAGGAAGUGAGGGUUAGGUCUCCUCAGUCAGUUGAUUUCUUCCUGCUUCACGAAGCUCUGUGGGGAGAUUGCAAGCCAUGCCGUGGAUUACAUCUGUAAACUUAAAUGCCUCUUCAUGUUGUUAAAUAGAACCCAAGUCUGAUAAGAAAGGGCUUGCUUAUAGGAGAUCUGUCAGGAGACAGUUUGUAUUCCUGUGUCCCUUACGCCUGUAGUCAUCCUGUUUUUCUGCGUGGCUAUGCUGGGAAGGAUAGGAUCUUCAAGGGAGUAGAGCCUCCUAUUACCUGGCCACCACCUUCUCGACCUGGGAUGGAUUCAGAAGCUGAAGGCAAUGCCGUACGGGCUUGGAGUGAGGCAACCAGUCGGCCUUGGGAGGUUGGGAGAGAUUGCACCAUCCGUACGAUACAAGGCUAAAUGACCCAAUCAAAUCCUCUCUUUAAACAAUAUGUAAAUAUGAGAUGAUCGAAGAGAAGGCCAAUCACUCAGCAUAAGACUGUUUUGUCUGGAGCAACGGUGAGCCAGUGGCCCUGUGUGUGAAGCUGGCUGUACAUGGCAGUCGGUCAACCAUGGUCCCUCAGUACGUGAGCUGUUGACGGAUACCUCCCCCUUUGGCUGAACCUCCCCAUGGUUCUCUGCAAUAAACCUUUAAGCUUGUUAAUAAUUUGUGCACAUAUGCUCCUUGUAACCCUGAAGAACUUGACUAGCAAAGCCAGCACAAUGUUGCUUUACUGAAGGGGCAUACCUUUGACAACCUCACCAGUGGUUAUGCCUGUGAGCAACUGGGUCAGUACACCCUUACCAAUUCUGGAGGUUGCCACGAAAACCUUUUUGAGGGGUUCAGUUCAACAAUUGUAAAGUGGUAGCUCAGUGUUGAUUUAUUUGAUUACUAGUUAGAAAAACUCAGUGCUUAAAUGGUCCUUACUUAUUGUAAACCAGGUUCACUAGGAAAGAAACUGGCCUCUGCAAAAUUAGCCAUUAGUGUUGUGUGCUAAAUAAUAUUCUCCAUUUACUGGGAGUUCAUCUAACAUGGAUCUCAAAUUAUAUAAUAAUGAAAUUGCAGAUUGACUGUAGGCACGAAAGUCCUCAGACUUACAGAAUAGGGACCCAUAGUGUCUACUUGAACCUGUCAUUUGAUUUCUUUGGCUGCCAGCUGUGUGAGCUGUGGCCACCGCAUGCUUCGAUGUUCCACGUGGUGUUUACCGCUGUGAGAAGACGCCAGUCAUCACUCCGACGAAUAGAACAGGAGCAGGACCCUGGGACCGCAGCAGGCCCAGCUGUAAGGUGAGCCCCAGGGAGUCACAUCCUUGUGUCGUCCCCUGCCCUUGAGGGCUGGUGGAGCCUGUGAGUUGCUUUUCACAAACAGAAUGUGGCAAAGGUGAGGGAUAGUCACCCACGGCUAUGUAAUUGCUGUACAAUGUCCACUGUAGUGGACUGGAGAGAGAUUCUCCACCGGCCUUGAAAAAGUAAGCUACUACAUGGCAAGGAGCCGCGGGAGCCUCUAAGGCUGGGGGCCCGCAAGACGACGGGGCUUCAGUCCCGCAACUGCAAGGAACUGAAUUCUGCUAAAAAUCGUGUGAAUGCGGAAAAGGACCCCAAGCUCCAGAAGGGAAUGCAGCUGAGCUGACACCCCGAUUGCAGCCCUGAGUGACUCUGAGCAGAGGACCCAGUGAAGCUGUGUCCUGUCUCCUAGCCUACAGAAACCGAGAUCAUAACUGGGUGUUGUUUUAAGCCCCUAAGUUGGUAGUAAUUUGUUACUCAGCCUCAGAAAAUUAAUAUAGUCUCCUUAUUAGAGUAAUAUGUAAGACGGUGGGUUUAAAUCUCAGCUUACUAACCAAGCAGGCUUGGCAAAUUGCUUACCCUCUCUGAGCCUGUUACCUAACUGUAAAAAUAGUACCUAUUCCAGGGUGCUGACGAUUGAAUGAAAUAAUGCGUGUGAGUCACUUAGCAUGGUACCUGACAGAGUAAGUUCUCA